AUUGAACGCUGGCGGCAUGCCUUACACAUGCAAGUCGAACGGCAGCACGGGUGCUUGCACCUGGUGGCGAGUGGCGAACGGGUGAGUAAUACAUCGGAACAUGUCCUGUAGUGGGGGAUAGCCCGGCGAAAGCCGGAUUAAUACCGCAUACGAUCUACGGAUGACAGCGGGGGACCUUCGGGCCUCGCGCUGUAGGGUUGGCCGAUGGCUGAUUAGCUAGUUGGUGGGGUAAAGGCCUACCAAGGCGACGAUCAGUAGCCGGUCUGAGAGGACGACCAGACACACGGGGAAUGAGACACGGCCCAGACUCCUACGGGAGGCAGCAGUGGGGAAUUUUGGACAAUGGGCGAAAGCCUGAUCCAGCAAUGCCGCGUGUGUGAAGAAGGCCUUCGGGUUGUAAAGCACUUUUGUCCGGAAAGAAAUCCUUGGCCCUAAUACGGUCGGGGGAUGACGGUACCGGAAGAAUAAGCACCGGCUAACUACGUG
This 486-nucleotide ribosomal RNA is filed under the name uncultured bacterium. RNAcentral describes it as "partial 16S ribosomal RNA". It matches the Rfam family "Bacterial small subunit ribosomal RNA", at positions 29 to 507 of the family's 1533-position model. The record is from RNAcentral.